UGGGGAAUUUUGGACAAUGGGCGAAAGCCUGAUCCAGCAAUGCCGCGUGUGUGAAGAAGGCCUUCGGGUUGUAAAGCACUUUUGUCCGGAAAGAAAUGGCUCUGGUUAAUACCUGGGGUCGAUGACGGUACCGGAAGAAUAAGGACCGGCUAACUACGUGCCAGCAGCCGCGGUAAUACGUAGGGUCCAAGCGUUAAUCGGAAUUACUGGGCGUAAAGCGUGCGCAGGCGGUUGUGCAAGACCGAUGUGAAAUCCCCGAGCUUAACUUGGGAAUUGCAUUGGUGACUGCACGGCUAGAGUGUGUCAGAGGGGGGUAGAAUUCCACGUGUAGCAGUGAAAUGCGUAGAGAUGUGGAGGAAUACCGAUGGCGAAGGCAGCCCCCUGGGAUAACACUGACGCUCAUGCACGAAAGCGUGGGGAGCAAACAGGAUUAGAUACCCCUGGUAGUCCACGCCCUAAACGAUGUCAACUAGUUGUUGGGGAUUCAUUUCCUUAGUAACGUAGCUAACGCGUGAAGUUGGACCGCCUGGGGAGUACGGUCGCAAGAUUAAAACUCAAAUGAAUUGACGGGGUCAUAGCUGUUU
This 584-nucleotide ribosomal RNA is filed under the name uncultured bacterium. RNAcentral's name for it is "partial 16S ribosomal RNA". It matches the Rfam family "Bacterial small subunit ribosomal RNA", at positions 355 to 935 of the family's 1533-position model. The record is from RNAcentral.